CCUACGGGAGGCAGCAGUGGGGAAUAUUGGGCAAUGGGCGCAAGCCUGACCCAGCAACGCCGCGUGAAGGAAGAAGGCUUUCGGGUUGUAAACUUCUUUUCUCAGGGACGAAGAAAGUGACGGUACCCGGAGAAAAAGCAUCGGCUAACUCCGUGCCAGCAGCCGCGGUAAUACGGAGGAUGCGAGCGUUAUCCGGAUUUAUUGGGUUUAAAGGGUGCGUAGGCGGGGCGUUAAGUCAGUGGUAAAAUUGAGGGGCUAAACCCCUUACCGCCAUUGAAACUGGCGCUCUUGAGUGGAAGAGAAGUAAGCGGAAUGCGUGGUGUAGCGGUGAAAUGCAUAGAUAUCACGCAGAACCCCGAUUGCGAAGGCAGCAUGCCGGCUUCCUACUGACGCUGAAGCACGAAAGCGUGGGGAUCGAACAGGAUUAGAUACCCGGGUAGUC
Molecule: ribosomal RNA, 442 nt
Filed under: uncultured bacterium
Lineage: Bacteria
Description: partial 16S ribosomal RNA
Rfam family: Bacterial small subunit ribosomal RNA
Source: RNAcentral